Molecule: transfer RNA, 21 nt
Filed under: Phrynosoma hernandesi
Lineage: Eukaryota; Metazoa; Chordata; Lepidosauria; Squamata; Phrynosomatidae
Description: partial tRNA-Leu
Source: RNAcentral
ACUUUUAAAGGAUAAAAGUAA